This is a long non-coding RNA of Brassica napus (rape), 528 nucleotides long. RefSeq lists it as uncharacterized. The record is from RefSeq and is a predicted model, not a curated record. The transcript has 4 exons. NCBI's taxonomy places the organism in Eukaryota, Viridiplantae, Streptophyta, Magnoliopsida, Brassicales, Brassicaceae.
AAUGCAAUGCUUGUAUGUCACGGACCUUAGUAGAACAUGUAUGCAGAGAAAAGUGCUUAGAAGAUAAUUGUCCGAUUGUCAUGAGUAUAUUUUUACCUCGAAUUCUCCGGCAAAGGCUCUUCCAUGUGGUCAUGUGAUGCACUCAGCAUGCUUUCAGGAGUACACAUGUUCACAUUACACAUGCCCUAUUUGCAGCAAGUCACUAGGGGAUAUGAAGGUAUACUUUAGAAUGUUAGAUGCACUGCUUGCAGAACAAAAAAUGCCGGAUGAAUACUUAACCAAACUCAGGUAAUACUAUGUAAUGACUGUGGGAGAAAGGGAAAUGCUCCUUACCAUUGGCUCUAUCACAAGUGCUCUUGUUGUGCCUCAUACAACACCAGACUUCUCUAACUCGUCCAAUAUCCUUUGUUUUUCCGUUGUAAAUGAGCAAGUCUAAACAUUUUUUCUUUCGUUUUGAAAGCAUUUGAUUUUGUAUGAAAAAUAAUAUUCGACAUACGGUUAAUAAAUUUAGAGGGGUUGUAGUUCUCA